GCGCUGCAUAACGAAGCUUGAUUUUUUUUUUUCGAAAUGGAUAUUAGUUCUUUAAGUUUGGGGGAAAUAUACUCCUGAAAAAAGAAAGUGGCUAGAGACUGGUGACCAAAAUUAUUAUGAAUUUGGACAACUUAAGCAACAGCGGGGACUAUAUAUGUUUGGGCAGGACAUUCAAGAAGGAAUAUUUACCUGGACGUUGUGCCGUAAACCUCACCAGGAUGGAUGUGUUUGUCGAGAUACCAAUUGGCUGUGCAUGUUCUAACUAUAUUAAGUUUCUUGUUGAUAUACAAAUAUAAAGCCCGGAGAUCAUUGUAAUUUUCUAGUUAAAUAAAGUUUGAUAUUUUUGAGUG
This 350-nucleotide long non-coding RNA is filed under the name Limulus polyphemus (Atlantic horseshoe crab). Its description in RNAcentral is "uncharacterized LOC106464127, transcript variant X1". The record is from RNAcentral. Lineage: Eukaryota; Metazoa; Arthropoda; Merostomata; Xiphosura; Limulidae.